This 56-nucleotide transfer RNA is filed under the name Ictidomys tridecemlineatus (thirteen-lined ground squirrel). RNAcentral describes it as "Spermophilus tridecemlineatus (thirteen-lined ground squirrel) tRNA". The record is from Rfam by way of RNAcentral. Lineage: Eukaryota; Metazoa; Chordata; Mammalia; Rodentia; Sciuridae.
GGGAUUGUGGCUCAGUGGUAGAGCACACGCCUUACACGUGUGAGGGUUUGAUCCUC